This 59-nucleotide transfer RNA is filed under the name Centruroides vittatus. Its description in RNAcentral is "tRNA-Thr". Lineage: Eukaryota; Metazoa; Arthropoda; Arachnida; Scorpiones; Buthidae. The record is from RNAcentral.
GUUUUAGUAGUUUAAUAAAAAUUUUAGUUUUGUAAACUAAAGAUGUUUUCCUAAAAUAA